This 474-nucleotide ribosomal RNA is filed under the name uncultured bacterium. Its description in RNAcentral is "SSU rRNA". It matches the Rfam family "Bacterial small subunit ribosomal RNA", at positions 26 to 523 of the family's 1533-position model. The record is from RNAcentral.
AGGAUAAACGCUGGCGGCGUGCCUAACACAUGCAAGUCGAACGCGCUUUCGGGCUUCGGUGCGAGAGCGAGUGGCGGACGGGUGAGUAACACAUGGGUACCUGCCUUUCAGUGAGGGAUACCGGCGAGAAAUCGCCGACAAUACCGCAUGGGCUUGUGGGAACACAAGCAAAGUGGCGCAAGCCACGCUGGAAGAUGGGCCUGUGGCCGAUUAGCUAGUUGGGGGGGUAAUGGCCUCCCAAGGCGACGAUCGGUAGCUGGUCUGAGAGGACGAUCAGCCACACUGGGAUUGAGAACGGCCCAGACUCCUACGGGGGGCAGCAGUGAGGAAUUUUCCGCAAUGGACGAAAGUCUGACGGAGCAACGCCGCGUGCAGGAGGACGCUUUUCGGAGUGUAAACUGCUUUUCUCGAGGAAGAAGUCGGACGGUACUCGAGGAAGAAGCCCGGCUAACUACGCGCCAGCAGCCGCGGUAA